RNAcentral lists this long non-coding RNA (806 nucleotides) under Anser brachyrhynchus (Pink-footed goose). Its description in RNAcentral is "lncRNA (ENSABRG00000018728.1)". Lineage: Eukaryota; Metazoa; Chordata; Aves; Anseriformes; Anatidae. The record is from RNAcentral.
UGCUGGAUUCCUAUGUGGCAUAAGAGAUGGCACAUGGAUGUCUAUAUAAUCCAUGGGAGAUACCUUUACUUCAAGGCUUCAUGCAGUGACAGAUGGUGCAAAUGUAGCACACAGUGUGAUCCUGCAGAAUGGAGAGCUCAGCUAUAGGAGCAACACCAAUUUUCCAUAUGUUCAGGUCCUGGGCAUGGUGCUAGGACAAAUGGUUGGGAAGGAACAGCUUUUGAUGGGGCCAGUGUCUCUACUGAGCCUGAAUAGGUAACCUAUUGCCCACCUCCUAACAAGGCUAAAGGAAGAUGUGCUGAAUCACUAAAAAGAUGUUGUGGUGGUCAGACAUAACUUCAGAGAAGUCAGUGGUGCCAUAACAUGAAGACGUUUCUCGAGCAUUGUUAGUCUGCAGUUCAUUUCAUUGUGUACGUGGUAUAGGUUUCUCUUGCCACACCCUCAGGAAAGAUAGUGUAUUGGUAAUUCUCCUGCACUAGGAAGUAGAUGCAGGCAGUUGCUGCUUUUCUUUGGCUGACAUCUCUUUUGUUUCAACAUCAAGUCCACAACUAACACUUUUUAUAGUACCAUCAGAAUCCCAUUUCGGUACUUAGAGAAAUCUCUUCUCUUACGAGAAUUAUUAAUAGUUCAAAACAGGCAAAACAAAAUGGAUAGGCAUGUUUACAAACGUUAUAAUAACUAUAGGCUUAAAGAGCAAAAACAGAGGACUCCAGAAAUGAUUUUAAAAGGCAAAAGUCAUUAUACUCACAGUAAGAAAAACAUAACAUAUUUGGCAUAAAACAAGAAAAAUAAAAGAUUGCCAAAAG